This 235-nucleotide unclassified non-coding RNA is filed under the name Hevea brasiliensis (rubber tree). The record is from RNAcentral. Lineage: Eukaryota; Viridiplantae; Streptophyta; Magnoliopsida; Malpighiales; Euphorbiaceae.
AAGUUUUUUCAUCUUCUCAACCUGCAAGUUUAUUAUAAAGAAAAUGAAAUUUUCGGGCCUAUAAAAGAUUAGCUACAGCUUAGCCAUAUAGGUCACAAGUCACAACAUAAGAGAAUCAAAAGCUAACUAAGAUGAGACAUGAAUCAGCAAUGCCAUAUCUAACCAAUGUAAAGUCCAAGAGCAACAUAUUCAAAUGAUACAAUUUAAGACUAACCUCCGGAAUAGCAUCUUGCCA